RNAcentral lists this small RNA (236 nucleotides) under Arabidopsis thaliana (thale cress). Its description in RNAcentral is "ATSL104030". Lineage: Eukaryota; Viridiplantae; Streptophyta; Magnoliopsida; Brassicales; Brassicaceae. The record is from RNAcentral.
GUUAUUUUUAGUUAUAUAUUAAGCAAAUACUUCUGAUUUUAACGGAUAUAUGAUGAGUUACGGAACGAAUACAUAUCAGAUAACUAAGAGCAUAUCACAAAUACCACCAAAAUCGAGGAUAUUCAUUCCCUAACUCAUCCCUAGUAUACAUAACAAACAUUUUGGAAAAAAUAAGGGUAAACGAGAUCGUUGAAUGACUAGGGUUCAAGGUUUUUCACUAUAAUCUUAAUUUUAUU